Molecule: ribosomal RNA, 501 nt
Filed under: uncultured bacterium
Lineage: Bacteria
Description: partial 16S ribosomal RNA
Rfam family: Bacterial small subunit ribosomal RNA
Source: RNAcentral
AUUGAACGCUGGCGGCAGGCUUAACACAUGCAAGUCGAGCGGGGGAAGGUAGCUUGCUACUGGACCUAGCGGCGGACGGGUGAGUAAUGCUUAGGAAUCUGCCUAUUAGUGGGGGACAACAUCUCGAAAGGGAUGCUAAUACCGCAUACGUCCUACGGGAGAAAGCAGGGGAUCUUCGGACCUUGCGCUAAUAGAUGAGACUAAGUCGGAGUAGCUAGUUGGUGGGGUAAAGGCCUACCAAGGCGACGAUCUGUAGCGGGUCUGAGAGGAUGAUCCGCCACACUGGGACGGAGACACGGCCCAGACUCCUACGGGAGGCAGCAGUGGGGAAUAUUGGUCAAUGUGGGGAACCCUGAUCUAGUCAUGCCGCGUGUGUGAAGGAGGCCUUAUGGUUGUAAAGCACUUUAAGCUAGGAAGAGGCUACUUUAGUUAAUACCUAGAGAUAGUGGACGUUACUCGCAGAAUAAGCACCGGCUAACUCUGUGCCAGCCGCCGCGGUAA